GCAGCCCUCUGUUAGUUUUGCAUACUUGCACUACAAGAAGAAUGCAGUUGUGCAAAUCUAUGCAAAACUGAUGGUGGCCUGC
MicroRNA precursor from Cricetulus griseus (Chinese hamster), 82 nucleotides. Ensembl annotates it as microRNA mir-19a. Its record names the gene Mir19a. The record is from Ensembl. Lineage: Eukaryota; Metazoa; Chordata; Mammalia; Rodentia; Cricetidae.